GGUAACGGCCUACCAAGGCUAAGACGGCUAGGGGGCGUGAGAGCGCGACCCCCCACAAUGGAACUGAGACACGGUCCAUACUCCUACGGGAGGCAGCAGUGAGGAAUAUUGCGCAAUGGGGGCAACCCUGACGCAGCAACGCCGCGUGGACGAUGAAGGCCUUCGGGUUGUAAAGUCCUUUUUUGGGGGAUGAUAAUGACGGUACCCCAAGAAUAAGUCCCGGCUAACUACGUGCCAGCAGCCGCGGUAAAACGUAGGGGGCGAGCGUUAUCCGGAUUUACUGGGCGUAAAGCGCACGUAGGCGGCGCUGUAAGUUGGACGUGAAAGCUCUCGGCUUAACUGGGAGAGGUCGUUCAAUACUGCGGUGCUCGAGGUUGGGAGAGGAGAGUGGAAUUCCCGGUGUAGUGGUGGAAUGCGUAGAUAUCGGGAGGAACACCAGUGGCGAAGGCGACUCUCUGGUCCACACCUGACGCUGAGGUGCGAAAGCGUGGGGAGCGAACGGGAUUAGAUACCCCGGUAGCCCACGCCGUAAACGAUGGAUACUAGGUGUAGGAGGUCAUUUACCCCUUCUGUGCCGUAGCUAACGCGUUAAGUAUCCCGCCUGGGGACUACGAUCGCAAGGUUAAAACUCAAAGGAAUUGACGGGGGCCCGCACAAGCAGCGGAGCGUGUGGUUUAAUUCGAUGAUACGCGAAGAACCUUACCUGGGUUUGACAUGUUGGUAGUAGUGAAGCGAAAGCGGAACGACCCUUCGGGGAGCCAUCACAGGUGCUGCAUGGCUGUCGUCAGCUCGUGUCGUGAGAUGUUGGGUUAAGUCCCGCAACGAGCGCAACCCUCGUCGUUAGUUACAAGUGUCUAACGAGACUGCCGGUAUCAAACCGGAGGAAGGUGGGGAUGACGUCAAGUCAGCAUGGUCUUUAUAUCCAGGGCUACACACACGCUACAAUGGUCGGUACAAUAGGCUGCCACACCGCGAGGUGAAGCUAAUCCUCAAAGCCGGUCUCAGUUCGGAUUGUAGUCUGCAACUCGACUGCAUGAAGGCGGAGUUGCUAGUAACCGCGCGUCAGCAAUAGUGCGGUGAAUGCGUUCCCGGGCCUUGUAUACACCGCCCGUCACAUCAUGGAAGUCGGUAACACCUGAAGUUGGCGACCGAACCGAAAGGUAGGAGCUGC
Molecule: ribosomal RNA, 1171 nt
Filed under: uncultured organism
Description: bacterial SSU rRNA
Rfam family: Bacterial small subunit ribosomal RNA
Source: RNAcentral